RNAcentral lists this ribosomal RNA (337 nucleotides) under uncultured Pelotomaculum sp. RNAcentral describes it as "bacterial SSU rRNA". It matches the Rfam family "Bacterial small subunit ribosomal RNA", at positions 1045 to 1382 of the family's 1533-position model. The record is from RNAcentral. Lineage: Bacteria; Bacillati; Bacillota; Clostridia; Eubacteriales; Desulfotomaculaceae.
UUGGUUGUCGUCAGCUCGUGUCGUGAGAUGUUGGGUUAAGUCCCGCAACGAGCGCAACCCACGUUUAGUUGCUAACGCGUGAAGGCGAGCACUCUAGACGAACUGCCGUUGACAAAAACGGAGGAAGGUGGGAUGACGUCAAAUCAUCAUGCCCUUAUGUUCUGGGCUACACACGUGCUACAAUGGCCGGUACAGACGGACGCAAAGCCGCGAGGUGGAGCAAAUCCUAAAAAGCCGGUCUCAGUUCGGAUUGCAGGCUGCAAUUCGCCUGCAUGAAGUCGGAAUCGCUAGUAAUCGCAGGUCCAGCAUACUCGCGGUCGAAUACGUUCCGGGCCUU